This is a long non-coding RNA of Siniperca chuatsi (mandarin fish), 1089 nucleotides long. RefSeq lists it as uncharacterized. The transcript has 5 exons. Lineage: Eukaryota; Metazoa; Chordata; Actinopteri; Centrarchiformes; Sinipercidae. The record is from RefSeq and is a predicted model, not a curated record.
GUCGACUGGCUUGGUGAGCAGCAGAUCUCCAAACACCUUCUUAAAGUGCGUUGCCAUAUUCCUCUGUUGGACCACACUGCAGUGGUCCUCGAUGGACAAGAUCACAGGAUACCUGCACAAACACAACAGCAGUGUUUCACCUCAUCAAGUUGUAGCAUCGGCUCAGGAUGCGGUCCACCCCUCAUGUACCCCAUGAGGAACUCUCUGACACGACUCAGAUCUGACGCCCAGGAGUCCUGAGACAGAGCCGGAUAAAGAAAGAAACUGGUAGAAGGACAACAGCGAAGACAAGGAAGUGGACACUGAGGAAGAGGUGGAGGGACUCACCGCAGGGGGAAGGAGAGUUCCAGCUGCUCAAUAAUCUGGGAACAAAAGGGGAGGAACCAGGUGAUGGACAGGAGAUGGCGCUGUAUGGUUUGAAGAGCUAAAUGUCAACGUCAGGAUUCUACAUUUCCAGGCCAAGAGUGAGGACUCCUGUAAAGUUUUCAUUGUUUAGGCUUGGAGGGGAUGGCUAGAAGGGGACAUGUCAUGUCCUGGACAUAGAGGACAAACAGCAUAUGGAUAAUCGCUUUUACUGAUUGACAAAACACAUGCAACCAUCAAUCGUUAGUAACAGAAUGAGGAAGGAAGCGAGAAAAGCAGGUAGAAAAAGAAAUAAAUCCAGGUCAAUUCUCCGAGGCAGGGAGGAUCUUUUGGGGUCAAUGACCGCUGUUGCUUCCAGGUCUGAUUCUCUCCACCCACUUCCCUCUGUCUAGCUACUGUUACUGUUACUGUUACUAUUUUCACAGGAGACAGGAAGUUGCCCUCUCCCAGCCCAACGCAUCACUUCCUGCUGCUUAUCAGGCGGUGGCAGGCUUGUCCUGGAGCGGCUUCUACCCAAACAGAAGCCUGGACUUAUUAAUGCGAGCACGAGUGAGAAAAAGACAGAAAGGGUCUGUGUGAUAUGUGGAGCCUCGGGGUGUGGAUGUGUGUGUCAGGCUGUGGAGGUUAAGGUCAGGACAGAUCCCUGACAGGGGUGUAACACGCUCUUUGAUGACAUCUGGAUCUGGUUUCACCUUCACGUUCCACCGGCUGUGACAGACCGGCCAA